Molecule: ribosomal RNA, 478 nt
Filed under: uncultured bacterium
Lineage: Bacteria
Description: partial 16S ribosomal RNA
Rfam family: Bacterial small subunit ribosomal RNA
Source: RNAcentral
GACGAACGCUGGCGGCGUGCUUAACACAUGCAAGUCGAACGGUAAGGCCCUUCGGGGUACACGAGUGGCGAACGGGUGAGUAACACGUGGGUGAUCUGCCCUGCACUUCGGGAUAAGCCUGGGAAACUGGGUCUAAUACCGGAUAGGACCCUGGGAUGCAUGUCCUGGGGUGGAAAGCUUUUGCGGUGUGGGAUGGGCCCGCGGCCUAUCAGCUUGUUGGUGGGGUGAUGGCCUACCAAGGCGACGACGGGUAGCCGGCCUGAGAGGGUGAACGGCCACACUGGGACUGAGAUACGGCCCAGACUCCUACGGGAGUCAGCAGUGGGGAAUAUUGCACAAUGGGCGCAAGCCUGAUGCAGCGACGCCGCGUGAGGGAUGACGGCCUUCGGGUUGUAAACCUCUUUCAGCACCGACGAAGCGCAAGUGACGGUAGGUGCAGAAGAAGGACCGGCCAACUACGUGCCAGCCGCCGCGGUAA